UUAGAAAUAAGUGGUGGCUUUUUUGGCACGAUACCUCCGUACUUCUUCUUAAUGACUUCCUCCUAACAAGGCACAAUGUAACAAAAGCAGUGGUUAUUAAAUUUUAUACAUUACAACCAAACAUAGUUGUUAAAAGCCAUCGCCUCUUGCGUCAAGGCACAUUUUUUCAGGCAAGGCGAGGUAUUUGCGCCUUACGUCAAGGCAAUUGCGCUUUAACUCUCCAUGUGAUGGUUCAGGCGCAAAUUCCGGCGAGAUUCCUAGAUUAUGGAAAGUUUACUUUUAUCCAGUGUUGUACUCGGUCCUCGGAACCCCUCCGAGGCGACUUCCUCCUAGGCGGACUCAAUUAGUCGGCCUCAGUCAAACUCGGUCAAACUCGGUCAAACUCGGCGCCUAGCCGGAAAGAGUCGGCCUAGUCGGUCUAGGCGGUCAACGUGGUUUGUUGACUUUUAAUUAGUCAAAAUCGGCCUACUCGGCCUUGUACUCGGACUACUCGACCUUGUACUCGGACUACUCGACCUUGUACUCAGACUAGUCGGACUUGUAUUCAGAAUAUUUGAACUUUAAACAUGUUUCAUUUUAAAUUAUACUCAUUACCAUGUCCGCGUACUCCCCGAGUACUCCGAUUACUCCCAACUCCCCAGUCGGCCGACUAG
This 653-nucleotide long non-coding RNA is filed under the name Helianthus annuus (common sunflower). Its description in RNAcentral is "sRNA HanXRQr2_Chr13g0592521". The record is from RNAcentral. Lineage: Eukaryota; Viridiplantae; Streptophyta; Magnoliopsida; Asterales; Asteraceae.